RNAcentral lists this ribosomal RNA (2928 nucleotides) under Klebsiella michiganensis. RNAcentral's name for it is "23S ribosomal RNA". It matches the Rfam family "Bacterial large subunit ribosomal RNA". Lineage: Bacteria; Pseudomonadati; Pseudomonadota; Gammaproteobacteria; Enterobacterales; Enterobacteriaceae. The record is from RNAcentral.
GGGUUGUGAGGUUAAGCGACUAAGCGUACACGGUGGAUGCCCUGGCAGUCAGAGGCGAUGAAGGACGUGCUAAUCUGCGAAAAGCGUCGGUAAGGUGAUAUGAACCGUUAUAGCCGGCGAUAUCCGAAUGGGGAAACCCAGUGCAAUUCGUUGCACUAUCGUUUGAUGAAUACAUAGUCAAACGAGGCGAACCGGGGGAACUGAAACAUCUAAGUACCCCGAGGAAAAGAAAUCAACCGAGAUUCCCCCAGUAGCGGCGAGCGAACGGGGAGCAGCCCGGAGUCUGAAUCAGCUUGUGUGUUAGUGGAAGCGUCUGGAAAGUCGCAGGGUACAGGGUGAUACUCCCGUACACUAAAACGCACAGGCUGUGAACUCGAAGAGUAGGGCGGGACACGUGGUAUCCUGUCUGAAUAUGGGGGGACCAUCCUCCAAGGCUAAAUACUCCUGACUGACCGAUAGUGAACCAGUACCGUGAGGGAAAGGCGAAAAGAACCCCGGCGAGGGGAGUGAAAAAGAACCUGAAACCGUGUACGUACAAGCAGUAGGAGCCCACUAGUUGGGUGACUGCGUACCUUUUGUAUAAUGGGUCAGCGACUUAUAUUCUGUAGCAAGGUUAACCGUAUAGGGGAGCCGCAGGGAAACCGAGUCUUAACUGGGCGUUAAGUUGCAGGGUAUAGACCCGAAACCCGGUGAUCUAGCCAUGGGCAGGUUGAAGGUUGGGUAACACUAACUGGAGGACCGAACCGACUAAUGUUGAAAAAUUAGCGGAUGACUUGUGGCUGGGGGUGAAAGGCCAAUCAAACCGGGAGAUAGCUGGUUCUCCCCGAAAGCUAUUUAGGUAGCGCCUCGUGAACUCAUCUUCGGGGGUAGAGCACUGUUUCGGCUAGGGGGUCAUCCCGACUUACCAACCCGAUGCAAACUACGAAUACCGAAGAAUGUUAUCACGGGAGACACACGGCGGGUGCUAACGUCCGUCGUGAAGAGGGAAACAACCCAGACCGCCAGCUAAGGUCCCAAAGUCAUGGUUAAGUGGGAAACGAUGUGGGAAGGCCCAGACAGCCAGGAUGUUGGCUUAGAAGCAGCCAUCAUUUAAAGAAAGCGUAAUAGCUCACUGGUCGAGUCGGCCUGCGCGGAAGAUGUAACGGGGCUAAACCAUGCACCGAAGCUGCGGCAGCGACGCUUAUGCGUUGUUGGGUAGGGGAGCGUUCUGUAAGCCGUUGAAGGUGGCCUGUGAGGGUUGCUGGAGGUAUCAGAAGUGCGAAUGCUGACAUAAGUAACGAUAAUGCGGGUGAAAAACCCGCACGCCGGAAGACCAAGGGUUCCUGUCCAACGUUAAUCGGGGCAGGGUGAGUCGACCCCUAAGGCGAGGCCGAAAGGCGUAGUCGAUGGGAAACAGGUUAAUAUUCCUGUACUCGGUGUUACUGCGAAGGGGGGACGGAGAAGGCUAUGUUGGCCGGGCGACGGUUGUCCCGGUUUAAGCAUGUAGGCGGAUGUUCCAGGUAAAUCCGGAACGUUACUAACGCUGAGGUGUGAUGACGAGGCACUACGGUGCUGAAGUGACAAAUGCCCUGCUUCCAGGAAAAGCCUCUAAGCAUCAGGUAACAUCAAAUCGUACCCCAAACCGACACAGGUGGUCAGGUAGAGAAUACCAAGGCGCUUGAGAGAACUCGGGUGAAGGAACUAGGCAAAAUGGUGCCGUAACUUCGGGAGAAGGCACGCUGAUGGUAGGUGAAGUGACUUGCUCAUGGAGCUGAAAUCAGUCGAAGAUACCAGCUGGCUGCAACUGUUUAUUAAAAACACAGCACUGUGCAAACACGAAAGUGGACGUAUACGGUGUGACGCCUGCCCGGUGCCGGAAGGUUAAUUGAUGGGGUUAUCCGUAAGGAGAAGCUCUUGAUCGAAGCCCCGGUAAACGGCGGCCGUAACUAUAACGGUCCUAAGGUAGCGAAAUUCCUUGUCGGGUAAGUUCCGACCUGCACGAAUGGCGUAAUGAUGGCCAGGCUGUCUCCACCCGAGACUCAGUGAAAUUGAACUCGCUGUGAAGAUGCAGUGUACCCGCGGCAAGACGGAAAGACCCCGUGAACCUUUACUAUAGCUUGACACUGAACACUGGUCCUUGAUGUGUAGGAUAGGUGGGAGGCUUUGAAGUGUGGACGCCAGUCUGCAUGGAGCCAUCCUUGAAAUACCACCCUUUAAUGGCUGGUGUUCUAACGUGGGCCCCUAAUCGGGGUUGCGGACAGUGUCUGGUGGGUAGUUUGACUGGGGCGGUCUCCUCCUAAAGAGUAACGGAGGAGCACGAAGGUCAGCUAAUCCUGGUCGGACAUCAGGAGGUUAGUGCAAUGGCAUAAGCUGGCUUGACUGCGAGCGUGACGGCGCGAGCAGGUGCGAAAGCAGGUCAUAGUGAUCCGGUGGUUCUGAAUGGAAGGGCCAUCGCUCAACGGAUAAAAGGUACUCCGGGGAUAACAGGCUGAUACCGCCCAAGAGUUCAUAUCGACGGCGGUGUUUGGCACCUCGAUGUCGGCUCAUCACAUCCUGGGGCUGAAGUAGGUCCCAAGGGUAUGGCUGUUCGCCAUUUAAAGUGGUACGCGAGCUGGGUUUAGAACGUCGUGAGACAGUUCGGUCCCUAUCUGCCGUGGGCGCUGGAGAAUUGAGGGGGGCUGCUCCUAGUACGAGAGGACCGGAGUGGACGCAUCACUGGUGUUCGGGUUGUCAUGCCAAUGGCAUUGCCCGGUAGCUAAAUGCGGAAGAGAUAAGUGCUGAAAGCAUCUAAGCACGAAACUUGCCCCGAGAUGAGUUCUCCCUGACUCCUUGAGAGUCCUGAAGGAACGUUGAAGACGACGACGUUGAUAGGCCGGGUGUGUAAGCGCAGCGAUGCGUUGAGCUAACCGGUACUAAUGAACCGUGAGGCUUAACCUUACAACGCCGAAG